This 1013-nucleotide long non-coding RNA is filed under the name Oreochromis niloticus (Nile tilapia). RNAcentral describes it as "lncRNA (ENSONIG00000026515.2)". Lineage: Eukaryota; Metazoa; Chordata; Actinopteri; Cichliformes; Cichlidae. The record is from RNAcentral.
UUGGAUGAUAUUAUUUUAACAACAGGUGUCCCACAAACUGGUGCAUACUGUAGCUUUCGCAGUCCUUUAUAUCCUGAAACAUUUUCUUACCAGCUGCGUUGUAUAGCAUUUGUCAAAAAGUGAUGAUGCCGCCUUCAUUGCAUAAUCGUGGCCGUAAAUGCGCACAGCGUACCAGGAAAUGAACCUUGCCGGCGCAUCACAGGGGGGUAGGAUGAUGUGGAUGUAGCUGGUUAUAUAAAACUAUAGGGCACAGUUGGAAUGAGCCAGAUGGGAUGAUAGUUGUCAUUUUAAGAGUAACGAGCUUGUUGUCGGCUUUGGGAGAUGUCGCUACUGCAUGACCUUGUGAACUUGUCUGCUGCGUGACCUCAAAAAAUGGCUCCCCGAGCACCCCUUCACAUCCCUGGGUUUAUUUGCACAGGCAGUUGCCCAAGCAGGAAGUGACAUCAACGGGUCCAAAGUAAAAAUAUGUCGCAGGACGGGCUGUCUAGGAUGUCCAGGACCGGUGUUUGUAAGAGAGGAUGCCUCGCACCGGCUCCACAGAGAGUGAUGCUUACUGAGGGAUGCAGGAGAGCGCCACACAGGCGAGACAGACACCGGAGGCUGAGCUCUGUAUCAUGGCCGUCUGCUUAAAGGGAUGCUGUCUGCUAUCCAGUUAUGGCUGAGGAAUGUGUCUGCAAGUGUGUGUGCACAUUUGGAAGCCUGCUUUAAAAGAUGCAUGCAUGGAGGGUGAAGAUUAUUUUUGUUUCACAGAAGGCACAUUAUAGCAGACCCAGACCAGGUCUGUUCAUCUCACACAGUAAGCCCUAGUCUUUAAGGAAAUAGACUCCAGUCAGUGUUCUUGGUUACUAGUAACUGGCAAUGUUGACCGUCAGUCCUAAUCAUAUUUGAAGCAUAUAACAAAUAUAAAAGAAAAAGUAAAGCAAAGUCAAGUUGGGUUAAAAAAAUCACAUAAAAUAAUCCUGAUUUAAACCCUUUUACAAAAAGCAGAAUUCCCCCCUGAACAACAUAUUGCC